This 266-nucleotide long non-coding RNA is filed under the name Lathyrus oleraceus (garden pea). RNAcentral describes it as "Pisum sativum (pea) long non-coding RNA (PSAT_LNC029779)". The record is from RNAcentral. Lineage: Eukaryota; Viridiplantae; Streptophyta; Magnoliopsida; Fabales; Fabaceae.
AACAAUUCACAGUUCUUAAGAAAAUGAUUGGAUGUGUUGCUUUUGAUGAUAAAACUAAUACCAUUGAGUGGAAUACCCCUAUUAAUUGUAGUUAAAAAAGUUGUUGGAUAAAGUGAAAGUUAAUAAAUAUGGAUAUGAUAAUGGAAAAAAAUAAUAAUAAAUGCUGCAUUGAUAUUGUAAAAGGAUAAUUAUUUUGAGGCAAAAUAAAAGUGAAAAUAAGACACUUUUUAUGAGAUGGAGGGAGUAGUAAUGAGCUGAGAAAAAAA